UUAAAUAAUGAUGAUCACAAGGGACUUAAUACUGAUACAUGAUGUCACCUUAUACUUUCUGAAUUUU
This is a small nucleolar RNA of Boleophthalmus pectinirostris (great blue-spotted mudskipper), 67 nucleotides long. RefSeq annotates it as small nucleolar RNA SNORD82. The record is from RefSeq and is a predicted model, not a curated record. The transcript has a single exon. Lineage: Eukaryota; Metazoa; Chordata; Actinopteri; Gobiiformes; Gobiidae.